Long non-coding RNA from Dermochelys coriacea (leatherback sea turtle), 1998 nucleotides. RefSeq lists it as uncharacterized. The transcript has 2 exons. NCBI's taxonomy places the organism in Eukaryota, Metazoa, Chordata, Testudines, Dermochelyidae. The record is from RefSeq and is a predicted model, not a curated record.
UUGUGCUUGAUGGAGGAAUUAUAGGGUGAAAAUUACUGCCCUGUCUUAUGCAAGAGGUCAGAUUAAAUGAUCACAAUGGACCCUUCUGGCUUUACAAUUUGUGAAUCUAUAAAGCUGAGGGGAGUUUGAAUGCUCAAAAAUUACUGAGAGACAACUAACUUGCAUAGGAGAUGACAAUACUUAGCUUCAGAAUAAGCAAGUAUUGUAUUGUGAAGUGGGACUACUAGUGGCUAUAUAAUUGCUUUCUAAAGAGUCCUAAAGCAAUUUUAAAAAAAUCUCUUGGGCCAAUUAAAAAUUGAAAAAUAUGCAGUAGUAAAUGAGAUGAGUCAUCUCUAAGAUGAAAAGUAUGAGAAGGUCCCUGCCCUAUAGAAACAGAUAAGAAGACAGGUUUAAUAUUGUUUAUAUUAGAAUAUGUAAUGAUUUCCAUCAGUUUCCAUUCAGCUGUAUUGCCUAAUGUGACUAAUGUGUUAUGUGACACUUUUUUUCUUUGGUUGCAAUUAUUUCAUAAUUAUUUUCACUUUAAAUUGCAUGAGCAAAAAGUUCUCUAGGAAUAAUCUCUACUUUCAGAAGUUUUCUCUCUAUUUUUAGUAGAAUGAACUCUGAAUGCAAGAAUGUAAACAUCAACUGUAGUAUUGCUUCAUAAAAGAUAAAACUUAAUACCUAACCCAUGUUAGCUUGAGUGUAAUGCAACCCCCCACAUAAACAGGUUGCACCCCCCAGUUUGAAAAUCAAUGUUGUAGACGAGACAGAAAACCAUUUUUGCUUUACCGCGUUGUAUCUGAAUUCGUGUUAUAUCAGAUCGCGUUAUAUCGGAGUAGAGGUGUAUUUAGUUUUACCUAAGACAAUCUUAAAAUGCUUUUUGACACGCUACCACCAAAAUAACAUAAUUUAUAAGUGCUUUUGGUUGAAGUAAUUUGUUCACAUGUAUAUCAACAUCUGUUUUGCAAACAUUCCAUUUUUUUCCUUAGUUAUUCAAGUUCUUAGUGUGUGUUCUAAAGUGAAGUUGAAUGGCACAGAAAACACUUCAUGAACAUUUGGGAACAUGUAUUAAAUCCAGAUAUAAGUGGCUUAUGUAACUUCAGUAUUUAUAAAUUUUAGGCCCUUCUAAAAUUAAUAUAUAGUAAAAUUACAAGUGGAGGCAUUUAUAAAAAUGAAGGAUCUGAUACACUGGUGUAGAACUGCAGUAGUGAAUCAGGCCCUCAGUGUAUUAAUAAAAUUCCUCCUUUUCUUUCUAACUGCCUCUCCACCCAUACACACAGAGUAGGAUAAUAGGGGUCAGAAAAGAAAAGAUUAUUACUCAAUUCUGAGAGGGGUCUCGGCCAAAUUAUAAAAUCAUAGAUAUGGGAAAAAACAAUCAUUUAGAUUGUCCAAUCCGUCUCCUGUCAAUGCAGGAUUGUUUGUUUUAUAAGACAGUACUUAUCCAGAUACUUUAUAGAAAGUGUAGUAUCUUUUUACAAUGUUCAUAUUAUGAUUUGCCUUUCUUACUUUGUUAGCUUUAAUUAUACUGGAACCAACUUAUUAUGUGGUCCAUGCCAGAGAAAGUCCAGUUAUAGUGAAGUUAUGUGAAAUGCUUCACUGCAAUUCAGGAGCUGUUCACUACUCUCUUUGUAGUAAAACUUCACUGCUUGUAAUGAAGGUUUUGCUUCACUGUAACUUGUUUCCACUGCAUUAAUGCCUUUGGAAUACAAGUGUCACUUACCAGACUAGUGGAAAGUACUUGAUUCCAAGGUGGGUAUCUUUCCUCUUUAUCUCCAGCCCCUUUGCUUUGGCUGAGCAGAGAGGGAGGGAGAGGAGCAGGAGAAGUGUACGUUUUUCUUUGGAUAGGAGUGUUGAGGGAUUUGCUGCAUCCUUUCCUACUGGGGAGUAGGGAGGGUUGCCAAAGGCUCUCCUUACAGCCUCUGCUGCUGUCGAGGGUAAGAGAUGCUCUGCCACCACUCCUGUAAUAGGAGUACUUUGUUAGUUAGGCUUCUUUGGCAGUUAUUGUGCAGUGGGUCCUUU